UCUAGGCAUUGAGGAUACUCCAGUGAACCACAUACAGGCCCUACCCUUGUGGCAGUUACAUUCUGGAAGGGAGAGGUGGGCAAAAUUUAUAGUAAGUCAGACAGCGAGAAGUGCUAAGGAGAAAAAUAAAGCUGGGAGGGGAAGUGGUUCCCAUUUUAUAAGGAUGAGCAAAGAAAGCAUCACUGAUGAUGUGCUAUUUGAGCAAAGGCCUGAAAGAAGAGAAAGGGCAAGCCACACAUCUGGGGAAGCACAUGCCAGGUGAAGAGCCCUGCAGAAGUCCAUGAUCAGGAACAAGGAGGCCAGUGUGGCUGAAACAGAGUGGGAGAUAAAGCCACCAACAUGGGCUCUUGAGAAGAUAGGAAAUCCAAAGAAAGAACCCCGGAACACUCCAAUGUUUGGGGGUCAGGAAAAUGAAGAGGAGCCAGCAAAGGACACCACGAAGGGGGCAGCCAGUGAGAUGAGACAAAGGAGGCUCAGAGGAUUAAGUGACCUGCCCGCAGCAACACGGAGAAGAUGUGGUGGAACCAGGGAUCAAAAAUUUGUCCUCUGUGUAUAUAGCGCCUCAACUUUCCAUCACACUUGCCUUCCUGGUGACCUGAUAUCCCAGGAUUUUCACUUACUGCUCUGGGGACACAUUGGUUAAAUCCAAGUGGUUUGCAGGCACUGACUGGCAACAUAACUGUGGUCAAUAGAAGAAUGAUGUACUGAGUGGUGGUCACUUAGAACCAUGCAUCUGCCACCCCUCGAGGCUGGGCCAUGAAGAAGGCAUGGCUCGGCUGGCACGGUGGCUCACACCUGUAAUUCCAGCAAUUUGGGAGGCCGAGGUAGGCUGAUUGCUUGAGCUUAGGAGUUUAAGACCAGCCUGGGCAUCAUGGCAAAACCCCAUCUCUAUAAAAAAUACAAACAUUAGCCAGGUGGUAUGCACCUGUGAUCCCAGCAACAGCAGGAGGCUGAGGUGGGAGGAUCGCUUGAACCGGGUGUCAGACCUCAGAGCCUAAGCUAAGCCAUCAUAUCCCCAGUGACCUGCUUGUGUACAUCCAGAUGGCCUGAAGCAACUGAAGAUCCACAGAAGUGAAAAUAGCAUUAACUGAUGACAUUCCACCAUUGUGAUUUGUUUCUGCCCCACCCUAACUGAUCAAUGUUCUUGAUAAUUUCCCCCACCCUUAAGAAGUUUCUUUAUAAUUCGCCCCACCCUUGAAUGUACUUUGUGAGAUCCACCCUCUGCCCCAAAAACAUUGCUCUUAACUCCACCUCCUAUCCCAAAACCUAUAAGAACCAAUGGUAAUCCCACAACCCUUUGCUGCCUCCUUUUUUGGACUCAGCCUGCCUGCACCCAGGUGAAAUAAACAGCUAUGCUGC
Molecule: long non-coding RNA, 1359 nt
Filed under: Homo sapiens (human)
Lineage: Eukaryota; Metazoa; Chordata; Mammalia; Primates; Hominidae
Description: HSALNT0298037
Source: RNAcentral